Molecule: small nucleolar RNA, 124 nt
Filed under: Echinops telfairi (small Madagascar hedgehog)
Lineage: Eukaryota; Metazoa; Chordata; Mammalia; Afrosoricida; Tenrecidae
Description: Small nucleolar RNA SNORA61 (ENSETEG00000026912.1)
Source: RNAcentral
AACCUCCAAAUUCCUUACCCCAUCAGAUCUAAAUAUUGGUCUGAGUGGCUCAAAAGAAAGAGGAAAACUAAAACGGAAGUGAACUUAGAGUCUUUAAUGACAUACAAGUUCUUUUCAAACAUAA